GCUAAAGUACCGCCGUCUGGAGCAGGGAACCCCGUGAGAAUCGGGGACUGACGCGCAGCGGUAACGCAGACGGGCGAGUAGCAAGCCACUGGGAACACCCCGGGAAGGCGCUCGUUCGGAUGAUGCCAAGUCCGAAAACCUCCCGGACCACACUUACCCGA
This 161-nucleotide non-coding RNA is filed under the name Cutibacterium acnes. Lineage: Bacteria; Bacillati; Actinomycetota; Actinomycetes; Propionibacteriales; Propionibacteriaceae. The record is from RNAcentral.